UACGUAGGGGGCUAGCGUUGUCCGGAUUUAUUGGCGUAAAGAGCGUGUAGGCGGCCAGGUAGGUCUGCUGUGAAAACCUCGAGGCUCAACCUCGAGACGUCGGCGGAAACCAUCUGGCUAGAGUCCGGAAGAGGAGAGUGGAAUUCCUGGAUGUAGCGGUGAAAUGCGCAGAUAUCAGGAAGAACACCGGAGGCGAAGGCGGCUUGCUGGGCUUGGUCGUGACGCUGGAGGCGCGAAAGCCGUGGGGAGCGAACAGG
RNAcentral lists this ribosomal RNA (257 nucleotides) under uncultured bacterium. RNAcentral describes it as "partial 16S ribosomal RNA". It matches the Rfam family "Bacterial small subunit ribosomal RNA", at positions 524 to 776 of the family's 1533-position model. The record is from RNAcentral.